This 719-nucleotide long non-coding RNA is filed under the name Musa acuminata (dwarf banana). RNAcentral describes it as "long non-coding RNA (MACU_LNC005747)". Lineage: Eukaryota; Viridiplantae; Streptophyta; Magnoliopsida; Zingiberales; Musaceae. The record is from RNAcentral.
UGAGGAGGCGCCGUUGUGUAGAGGGAAACGGCAGCGAAAGCUGCUGCGGUAGAGGAAGAUGCAGCAGUUGCGACAGCUACUGGCCGGAGAAGUGCAGGAGGCGGCUGCUGUGAUAGAGGAAGAUGCAGCAGUUGCGACUGCUAUUGGCCAGAGAAGUGCAGGAGGCGGCUGAUGUCUUCUCUGGUGCUGCCCAACGUGGGGCUGAAGGACCACGUUGUCCUUCUGGCGAAGAAGAAGGAAGAGGAAGGUGCAGCAGUUGCGACUGCUACUGGCCGGGAAGCGAGGAAGACACCGUUGUUCGCCGUUCACUGCUAUUGAGGAGAGAAUGUUUUCCUCCUUGCGUGAUGGCGACGGAGAGUGUCUGCUGUAGGCAGCAAAUAGGAGAGGGAGCAAGGCCGGCGAAGAAAAGCAAGACCGGUUAGCACUGGCUUUGAAUCCGUGUCUUGGUGCUUCUUCAAUGACUCCGCUUGAGGCAGCGUGCUACUGUGGCCGCUUGGCUAACACAUGGCGAUGCUGCUGUCGCCAAGAGGAGCUGCUCUGAUACCAUGUUAAAAUAAAGAGAUAAAUGAGUUGUUGAAGAAGAAGUUGAAUGUUAUUGACAUAUCCUCCGUCUUUAUAUACAGGUUAGAAGGAGAAGUUUCCUCAACGGGUUAGAGGAUUUCCCUCAACAGAGUAGAGAGAUUUCCUCAACAGUUAGGGAAAUCUCAUCUACUUAUCAU